This 73-nucleotide transfer RNA is filed under the name Myxococcales bacterium. RNAcentral describes it as "tRNA-Trp". It matches the Rfam family "tRNA". Rfam says of the family: Transfer RNA (tRNA) molecules are approximately 80 nucleotides in length. Their secondary structure includes four short double-helical elements and three loops (D, anti-codon, and T loops). Further hydrogen bonds mediate the characteristic L-shaped molecular structure. tRNAs have two regions of fundamental functional importance: the anti-codon, which is responsible for specific mRNA codon recognition, and the 3' end, to which the tRNAs corresponding amino acid is attached (by aminoacyl-tRNA synthetases). tRNAs cope with the degeneracy of the genetic code in two manners: having more than one tRNA (with a specific anti-codon) for a particular amino acid; and 'wobble' base-pairing, i.e. permitting non-standard base-pairing at the 3rd anti-codon position. The record is from RNAcentral. Lineage: Bacteria; Pseudomonadati; Myxococcota; Myxococcia; Myxococcales.
AGGCUCGUAGUACAAUUGGUAGUACACCGGACUCCAAAUCCGGGUGUUGGGGGUUCGAGUCCCUCCGAGCCUG